This 460-nucleotide ribosomal RNA is filed under the name uncultured bacterium. Its description in RNAcentral is "partial 16S ribosomal RNA". It matches the Rfam family "Bacterial small subunit ribosomal RNA", at positions 338 to 795 of the family's 1533-position model. The record is from RNAcentral.
CCUACGGGUGGCAGCAGUGAGGAAUAUUGGUCAAUGGACGCGAGCCUGAACCAGCCAAGUAGCGUGAAGGAUGACUGCCCUAUGGGUUGUAAACUUCUUUUAUAAAGGAAUAAAGUCAGGCACGUGUAUCUUGUUGUAAGUACUGUACGAAUAAGGAUCGGCUAACUCCGUGCCAGCAGCCGCGGUAAUACGGAGGAUUCGAGCGUUAUCCGGAUUUAUUGGGUUUAAAGGGUGCGUAGGUGGUUUGUUAAGUUAGUUGUGAAAGCUUGCGGCUCAACCGUGGAACUGCCGUUGAUACUGGCAGUCUUGAGUGCAGUUGAGGUAGGCGGAAUGCGUGGUGUAGCGGUGAAAUGCAUAGAUAUCACGAAGAACUCCGAUUGCGAAGGCAGCUUACUAAACUGCCACUGACGUUGAGGCACGAAAGUGUGGGGAUCAAACAGGAUUAGAUACCCUUGUAGUC